Molecule: long non-coding RNA, 453 nt
Filed under: Mytilus galloprovincialis (Mediterranean mussel)
Lineage: Eukaryota; Metazoa; Mollusca; Bivalvia; Mytilida; Mytilidae
Source: RNAcentral
UUUGCUGAUCAUAUUUGCUGUUUACAGUUUAUCUUUAUCUAUAAUAAUAUUCAAGAUAAUGACCAAAAACUGCAAAAUUUCCUUAAAAUUACCAAUUAAGUGGCAGCAACCCAACAAUUGGAUGUUUGAUUCAUCUGAAAAUUUCAGGGCUGAUAGAUAUUGACCUAAUGAACAUUUUUACUCCAAGUCAGAUUUGCUCUUAAUGCUUUCGUUUUUGAGAUAUAAGCCAAAAACUGCAUUUGACCCUAUGUUCUAUUUUAAGUAACGGCGGCCAUGUUUUUUGACAGAUCAAAAAUCAAAGCACACACUUUGUGCAGGAUAAUCUAAGGAACAACCAUGCUAAGUUUUAACCAAAUCCAUUCAGUAGUUUCAGAGGAGAAGAUUUUUUAAAGUUAGCAAAUAUGAUGAACAAAUUGUGAAAAAUUGUCAUUAAAGGACAAUAACCCUUAAGGG